Molecule: long non-coding RNA, 1196 nt
Filed under: Taeniopygia guttata (zebra finch)
Lineage: Eukaryota; Metazoa; Chordata; Aves; Passeriformes; Estrildidae
Description: lncRNA (ENSTGUG00000022727.1)
Source: RNAcentral
UCUCCGAUCCUCCAAAUUCCUGAAUCCCUAAACCCCCAAAUUCCUGAACCCCCAAAUUCCUGAACCUCCAAAUUCCUGAAUCCCUGAACCCCCAAAUUCCUGAACCCCCAAAUUCCUGAACCCCCAAAUUCCUGAACCCCUGAAUCCCCAAAUACAUGAAUCUCCGAUCCUCCAAAUUCCUGAAUCCCUGAAUCCCCAAAUUCCUGAACCCCCAAAUCCCCGAAUCCCCAAUUUCCCAAUCCCCAAAUCCCUUAAUUUCCCAAAUUCCUGAAUCCUCGAACCCCCAAAUUGCUGAACCCCCGAAUUCCUGAAUCCCUGAACCCCCAAAUCCCUGAAUCCCCAAUUUCCUGAAUCCUCGAACCCCCAGAUUCAUGAACCCCUGAACCCCUAAAUCCCCAAAUUCCUGAAUUCCCAAAUCCCCAAAUCCCCGAAUCCCCAAAUUCCCGAAUCCCCAAAUUUCCCAAUCCCCGAAUCCCCAAAUUCCCGAAUCCCCAAAUUUCCCAAUCCCAAAAUCCCAGAGCUCCAACUCACCCGCGUGGCUCCGCGCUUCCCAGAAAUCUGCGGGAAUAAGAAAAAAACGGGAAUUCCCAUUUUUAUGGAGGAAUUCCAUCCUUCCCCCCAGAAUUCCCAUUUAACGCCCCCCAAAUCCCAGGAAUUUGGGCAUUCCCGUGGUUUUUCCAGGAAUUUGGGCAUUCCCGAGGUUUUCCCGGGAAUUUGGGCAUUCCCAGGAAUUUGGGCAUUCCCGAGGUUUUCCCGGGAAUUUGAUAUUCCCGAGGUUUUCCCGGGAAUUUGGUAUUCCCGAGGUUUUCCCGGGAAUUUGGGCAUUCCCGAGGUUUUCCCGGGAAUUUGAUAUUCCCGAGUUUUCCCGGGAAUUUGGGCAUUCCCGAGGUUUUCCGCGCUUACCCAGCUCCGCUUUCAGCUGACCUGAAAGGAAAAGCGAUUCCCGUCAGUUUUGGAGGAUUUUCCCGUUUUUUCCCCCAUUUUUCCCAUCAGAACAAGCCCCGAGUGUGGAAUUGCAGGAAAUUCCCUUCCCUGGAUGAAAUAGCCCCAAAUUCCAGGGAAAAUGUGGAAAAUAAGCGGAAUUCCCGGGUUAUUUUUUGGGAGAAAUGUGGAUUUAUGGAAUUUGCAUUUUCUUACCAAAGCGUUUCUUGAAUUGGAUUUUUGCUGGAAGGGAAAAGCAUGGAAUGAGUGACGGG